UGGAACUCUGAAGAAUGAGGCCCGAGUCAGCAGCACAAGUGCAUCAGAGGCCGUAACCUUCAACCUUCAUCCCAGUUCCAGAGUGCUGGGAUGCAGAAAGGACCACAAGAAUGAAAUGGAAAGGCAUUUUCUGGAGCUUCUUCAGUUUAAUAUUAAUGUUCCUGCCAGUGUUUAUGCCAAAUACUACUUUGACCUUCGCUCCUUAGCAGAUGACAACAACCUGAAUUUUCUAUUUGCUCCUCUUAGCAAAGAAAGAGCACAGAACCUAGAGGCUAUUUCUAGAUUGUGUGAAGACAAAGACUUAUGUAGAGCUGCUAUGAGAAGGUCUUUCAGUGCUGAUAACUUCAUUGGUAUUCAGCGCUCUAAAGCCAUCCUCUCUUAAAGGGAGAAAUGAGGGGUUAUAACGUCACGGGACCUUCAUCUACAAAGACUGGAGAAAUAUCACCUUUCCUGCUCAAAAACCAGCAAAAUUAGUGUUUUCAUCAAAAGGAAAGAUCUCAAAUUCAAGAGACUCAUGGACAACAAGGAUUAUACUCCAUAGGAAAGAAUGGGACCUUGU
Molecule: small RNA, 559 nt
Filed under: Pongo abelii (Sumatran orangutan)
Lineage: Eukaryota; Metazoa; Chordata; Mammalia; Primates; Hominidae
Description: processed transcript
Source: RNAcentral